ACAUUACCAACAAAACUAAACACCGCGAAGGUGACCAGUGGGUCCCUUGAAAUCAAUUCUGUAAAAAUGAAAGAUAAUGGCGACCAUGAGUUUGAAGUUUUCCUUUCGAAUGGCAAAUCUAAAGCAAAAAAAACAAUCACACUGUGUGUUCAUGAAAAGCCACCUAAGCCAACGGUGAAAGUCACAUGUAUAGAUGGGACUCCUUACAUUACCUGUGAAGUUAAAGACCAAACCGGACGGACCUUCAGUUGGUAUAAAAAUGGGAAAAAAAUUGAUGGAAAUUCUGCAAGUCUAAGAAACAUUGAGAGAGACCAGGACUAUGAGUGUGCUGUGGAACAACCCAUUCCAAGUGAAAAGAG
Astyanax mexicanus (Mexican tetra) is the source of this 359-nucleotide long non-coding RNA. RefSeq lists it as uncharacterized. The record is from RefSeq and is a predicted model, not a curated record. NCBI's taxonomy places the organism in Eukaryota, Metazoa, Chordata, Actinopteri, Characiformes, Acestrorhamphidae. The transcript has 2 exons.